GGCCACGUGGCGGAGUGGUUACGCAGCGGACUGCAAAUCCGUGUACGGGGGUUCGAUUCCCUCCGUGGCCUCCA
This 74-nucleotide transfer RNA is filed under the name Xanthobacter sp. RNAcentral describes it as "tRNA-Cys". It matches the Rfam family "tRNA". Rfam says of the family: Transfer RNA (tRNA) molecules are approximately 80 nucleotides in length. Their secondary structure includes four short double-helical elements and three loops (D, anti-codon, and T loops). Further hydrogen bonds mediate the characteristic L-shaped molecular structure. tRNAs have two regions of fundamental functional importance: the anti-codon, which is responsible for specific mRNA codon recognition, and the 3' end, to which the tRNAs corresponding amino acid is attached (by aminoacyl-tRNA synthetases). tRNAs cope with the degeneracy of the genetic code in two manners: having more than one tRNA (with a specific anti-codon) for a particular amino acid; and 'wobble' base-pairing, i.e. permitting non-standard base-pairing at the 3rd anti-codon position. RNAcentral also lists the same sequence under 11 other names. The record is from RNAcentral. Lineage: Bacteria; Pseudomonadati; Pseudomonadota; Alphaproteobacteria; Hyphomicrobiales; Xanthobacteraceae.